CCUACGGGAGGCAGCAGUGGGGAAUAUUGGACAAUGGGGGGAACCCUGAUCCAGCCAUGCCGCGUGUGUGAAGAAGGCCCUCGGGUUGUAAAGCACUUUCAGUGAGGAAGAACGCCUGGUGGUUAAUACCCAUCAGGAAAGACAUCACUCACAGAAGAAGCACCGGCUAACUCCGUGCCAGCAGCCGCGGUAAUACGGAGGGUGCGAGCGUUAAUCGGAAUUACUGGGCGUAAAGCGCGCGUAGGUGGCUUGAUAAGCCGGUUGUGAAAGCCCCGGGCUCAACCUGGGAACGGCAUCCGGUACUGUCAAGCUAGAGUGUAGGAGAGGAAGGUAGAAUUCCCGGUGUAGCGGUGAAAUGCGUAGAGAUCGGGAGGAAUACCAGUGGCGAAGGCGGCCUUCUGGGCUGACACUGACACUGAGGUGCGAAAGCGUGGGUAGCAAACAGGAUUAGAUACCCCGGUAGUC
This 465-nucleotide ribosomal RNA is filed under the name Vreelandella stevensii. Its description in RNAcentral is "partial 16S ribosomal RNA". It matches the Rfam family "Bacterial small subunit ribosomal RNA", at positions 338 to 795 of the family's 1533-position model. Lineage: Bacteria; Pseudomonadati; Pseudomonadota; Gammaproteobacteria; Oceanospirillales; Halomonadaceae. The record is from RNAcentral.